RNAcentral lists this long non-coding RNA (296 nucleotides) under Homo sapiens (human). RNAcentral's name for it is "HSALNT0019736". Lineage: Eukaryota; Metazoa; Chordata; Mammalia; Primates; Hominidae. The record is from RNAcentral.
UAGGCCGUUUAAUCCAGUUAACCUCUCAGGACAUAUAGAAUCCACAUAGAAUCAUAUAGAAAACCUGUACUUUUGCCUCUGAACUCACUUCAAAGAGAGUUUAAUUUAUGCAAAGCACAUAAAAAAGUGAAGAACUUUACUAGGAAAAAAGGAACCAAAAAGUUAUAAAGGGAUGCUUAGGUAUAGAGAAGAAACAGAAGAAGAACACACAUAUUUUGCUCAACUAAAAGAUCCCAAUUUAACCAUUUUUGCGUCAUAAGUGGAUGAAAUAUAUUGGUUUCACAUGUCCUCCCCUA